UAGGGAAUAUUGGGCAAUGGUCGCAAGACUGACCCAGCCAUGCCGCGUGAAGGAAGAAGGCUUUCUGAGUUGUAAACUUCUUUUAUCUGGGAAAAAAAUACCCUUGCGAGGGGAACUGAUGGUACCAGAUGAAUAAGCACCGGCUAACUCCGUGCCAGCAGCCGCGGUAAUACGGAGGGUGCAAGCGUUGUCCGGAUUUAUUGGGUUUAAAGGGUGCGUAGGCGGCUUUAUAAGUCAGCGUUGAAAUAUGGCAGCUUAACUGUCAGACUGGCAUUGAUACUGUAGAGCUUGAGUGAAGUCGAGGUUGGCGGAAUUGACGGUGUAGCGGUGAAAUGCAUAGAUAUCGUCAAGAACACCGAUUGCGAAGGCAGCUAACUAGACUUUAACUGACGCUGAGGCACGAAAGCGUGGGGAUCAAACAGG
This 423-nucleotide ribosomal RNA is filed under the name uncultured bacterium. RNAcentral describes it as "bacterial SSU rRNA". It matches the Rfam family "Bacterial small subunit ribosomal RNA", at positions 355 to 776 of the family's 1533-position model. The record is from RNAcentral.